This 3775-nucleotide long non-coding RNA is filed under the name Podarcis lilfordi (Lilford's wall lizard). Lineage: Eukaryota; Metazoa; Chordata; Lepidosauria; Squamata; Lacertidae. The record is from RNAcentral.
CCUGGACCUUCUGAGCUACAUCCCUUCAGUAGCAGUGCUUCUGAUUUUGAAAACAGCAGUCACGUGUCUUGUAUGCUUUUGAGUCUUAUGAGGUUCCAUAGCACUUAUUGCUAGGUAAAUGUAAUAGAAUUGCAGCCUUAAAUACGUGUUGUGAGUUGGAAAACAGAUGUUUCUGGAGGUUAUGCCAUACGGCGGCUUUCCUUGACGUAUACCCUUCAUCAACUAAGUGCAGAAAAGCACACAUGGGCACUUGUUAUGGAAAGAUAAUGUCAGGGAACUGACAUCGGAGCUAGAGGUGGAGGGGAGGCUCUCUAAUGAUGCUGGAGAAGGGCCCAGCAGGGAGAGAGGCAGCUCAGCAAAUGGGGAAGCAAUUCAGUGCAACACCAGGAAUAAGGAGGGGCAGAUGGGGGAAUCGGAGAGAGGGCUCCCAGACUCUUCACCGGACACCAGCGGGGAGAGCACUGGUCCUCCGCUACCCACGCCCUCCCUGCACAGAAGACUUCCGCGCAGAGAAAGUAGGAGGAGACUGGGUGUCAAACAACUUUUAUGUUGGAAAAGGUUUAAGAAACGCCCACUGACGGAUUCUGCUAGCGACUGCGGCAGCCACGAAUUGAAGGGCUGUCCAGACAGAAAGGUUUAACAAGGCAACAUAGCCAGGAGAGGCGGCAACUUACGCACGAGCAACCCCAUACCAUUAUAGAUAAGAAUGUAAAUUCACCAGUAAGGACAGGAGGAAAUCUCCAGCCCUCUCCUAUGGGAACAAGCCCCAAUAUACUCUAUUAGCUUUGAACAACUGAGUGGCAACUAAAAGGAGCGGAACUGUCGUUAGUAACCUGUUUCCAUUCAGCAGAAGGGAGCACUGUACUGCAGCACAAAAGGAGCCCAGGAGGCUAGCUUAUUCCACGUCAGGCCUUCAGUGAAUAUAUCCCAUUAUUGGCUGCAGUGGCAGCUCCAGAACACAGGUGACGCUGUGGUCUAAACCACUGAGCCUCUUGGGCUUGCCGAUUAGAAGGUUGGCGGUUCAAAUUCCCGUGACGGAGUGAGCUCCUGUUGCUCUGUCCCAGCUCCUGCCAACCUAGCAGUUCAAAAGCACACCAGUGCAAGUAGAUAAAUAGGUACCGCUGCGGUGGGAAGGUAAACGGCGUUUCCAUGCGCUCUGGCUUCCGUCACGGUGUCCCGUUGCGCCAGAAGCGGUUUAGUCAUACUGGACACAUGACCUGGAAAGCUGUCUGUGGACAAUCGCCGGCUCCCUCGGUCUGAGACUUAACCGGCCAGGGGUCCUUUGCCUUACUGGCUGCAGUGACCUUUCAGGAUUAUCAUAAUAAAUUUCCCAGACUUUCUGUGAUCUGGCAGGGAAUCAGAGAGUCACCUGACUCUUUGCAUGCUAAGUGUGUGCUGUAGCACCAAGCCAUGGCCCUUCCCUACAAGGAAACAUUUCUUGGGAGUUUCCAUGCCAAAUGUUCACUAGGCGCCUGCUUGAUUCACUUUGUUGAAUUUGGGCUAAGGUAAUGAAACAUUGCUGGCCAAAAGAUAGGGCAUGAGGAAGGGCUGGCAAUAAAUUCAUACUAUGCCUGGCAUGUGAAGGAAGUCUCUUUCUCCAACAGCUGUUUACAGAGCCAGGAAAUCAAUAUCCCGACACAGCUUGUGAACGCAACAAGGUUUUGUUUUGCCACAGGGAGAGGGAACCACCCUCUCGUUUGUAAAACUGUUUGACAUAUAAUCGACAGGGCUAUUCUAAGACGCACCCAUUCCAUUUCAUGUACAGAAGCCAACUAGACCAAGACAGCAUGGUUCAUUAUUGUCAAGAGCAGUAGGCUAAGUUAGGGGGUGCAAACCUGCCCAUGUGACACACAGCAGCUGUUCUACAAAACAUCAGUACAGUGGUACCUCGGGUUAAGGGACGCGGGUGGCGCUGUGGCUUAAACCACAGAGCCUAGGACUUGCCAAUCAGAAGGUCAGCAGUUCGAAUCCCCGUGACGAGGUGAGCUCCCGUUGCUUGGUCCCAGCUCCUGCCAACCUAGCAGUUCGAAAGCACAUCAAAGUGCAAGUAGAUAAAUAGGUAUCGCUCCGGCGGGAAGGUAAACGGCGUUUCCGUGCGCUGCUCUGGUUCGCCAGAAGUGGCUUAGUCAUGCUGGCCACAUGACCCGGAAGCUGUACACCGGCUCCCUCGGCCAAUAAAGUGAGAUGAGCGCCGCAACCCAGAGUCGGUCACGACUGGACCUAAUGAUUAGGGGUCCCUUUACCUUUACCUCAGGUUAAGUACUUAAUUUGUUCCGGAGGUCCGUUCUUAACCUGAAACUGUUCUUAACCUGAAGCACCACUUUACUCCUGCUGCCGCUGUGCCGCCAGAGCACGAUUUCUGUUCUCAUCCUGAAGCAAAGUUCUUAACCCGAGGUGCUAUUUCUGGGUUAGAGAAGUCUGUAAUCUGAAGUGUAUGUAACCUGAAGCGUCUGUAACCCGAGGUACCACUGCCCCUUUGAGACAGGUGCCUCACUCUGCCCAAUGGUAGAGAUGGCUCCAGUUGUUGAGGCACAGGCUGUGGCAGAAAGGCUAAAAAAGGAAGAGAUUUUCCCCAAGUCAACUGCAUUCCACCCCCCACCCCACCCCCCAUGUACAAGAUCACCCACACAAGUUCAGUGGUGCAAACUGCCCUUUCUUAAGUCUCCUUUCAAUGCAUAAUUGAAUAAUUAGAAGAGAAUUGUAUAAUUAGAAGAGAAACAACAAAAGGUGCUAUGUAAGAAGGCUGCGUUUUAGACGGUGUUAAAACAUGGGUUUAAAGCAAUGGCAAACCUAGACAGCAUCUUAAAAAGUAGAGACAUCACCUUGCCAACAAAGGUCCGUAUAGUAAAAGCUAUGGUUUUCCCAGUAGUGAUGUAUGGAAGUGAGAGCUGGACCAUAAAGAAGGCUGAUCGCCGAAGAAUUGAUGCUUUUGAAUUAUGGUGCUGGAGGAGACUCUUGAGAGUCCCAUGGACUGCAAGAAGAUCAAAGCUCUCCAUUCUUCAGGAGAUCAGCCCUGAGUGCUCACUGGAAGGACAGAUCCUGAAGCUGAGACUCCAAUACUUUGGCCACCUCAUGAGAAGAGAAGACUCCCUGGAAAAGACCCUGAUGUUGGGAAAGAUGGAGGGCACAAGGAGAAGGGGACGACAGAGGACCAGAUGGUUGGACAGUGUUCUGGAAGCUACCAGCAUGAGUUUGACCAAACUGCGGGAGGCAGUGGAAGACAGAAGUGCCUGGCGUGCUCUGGUCCAGGGGGUCACGAAGAGUCGGACACGACUAAACAACAACAACAACAAAACAUGGGUGCUGACUCCAGGCAGAAGUACCGUAUAUAGCAGACUAAGCAGAAGGACGCUUAAGGACUAUUUUGAAAAUGGGAUUUUGUUAUGAGGAUAAAGCACAUGUCUUCUACACAGCAAACACUAUUCUAUUCAGUGCGCCUCUGCUGAUAUGUCAGUUGGCAGGUGUCAGAAUUGCUGCUCAAUUUAUCGCAGCUGAAGUGUUAGACUGAGCGCCAACAUUUGCAUACAAACUUCAUAGAGGUUGAAGAACUGAGAUACACCAGUGACUGUGGGCAAUCAGUAAAAUGCAGUGUAUGUAAGAUUUAAAGGGGAAACAGAACUAUAAAUUAUUCAGCCAUUUACAGAAUUAAUUAGGCAGCACUUGCACACACCUGUGUGUGUGUGUGUGUGUGUAAUCGCUAAUGUUGCUUUUUAAAUCUAAUUAGCUUAAAAAUAUAUUGAUUGUAAAAAAUAAGAAUCAAUAUACGUUUAUCACU